GAAAAUCCGUUGACUUUAAAAAUCGUGAGGGUUCAAGU
RNAcentral lists this transfer RNA (38 nucleotides) under Grammosciadium schischkinii. RNAcentral's name for it is "partial tRNA-Leu". Lineage: Eukaryota; Viridiplantae; Streptophyta; Magnoliopsida; Apiales; Apiaceae. The record is from RNAcentral.